ACUCAAAUGAAUAGACGGGGGCCCGCACAAGCAGCGGAGCGUGUGGUUUAAUUCGACGCAACGCGCAGAACCUUACCCAGAUUGGACAUGCCACUGCAAGCCGCUGAAAGGCGGUCGCCUUCGAGGGUGUGGCACAGAUGCUGCAUGGCUGUCGUCAGCUCGUGUCGUGAGAUGUUGGGUUAAGUCCCGCAACGAGCGCAACCCUUACGGUCAGUUACUCGUGUCUGACCGGACUGCCCCUUUGGGGAGGAAGGCGGGGAUGACGUCAAGUCCGCAUGGCUCUUACAUCUGGGGCGACACACACGCUACAAUGGCGUCGGCAGAGCGCAGCGACCCGGCAACGGGAAGCGAAUCGCUAAACGGCGUCUCAGUGCAGAUCGGGGGCUGAAACUCGCCCCCGUGAAGGCGGAGUUGCUAGUAACCGCGUAUCAGCCAUGGCGCGGUGAAUACGUACCCGGGCCUUGUACACACCGCCCGU
RNAcentral lists this ribosomal RNA (478 nucleotides) under uncultured bacterium. RNAcentral's name for it is "partial 16S ribosomal RNA". It matches the Rfam family "Bacterial small subunit ribosomal RNA", at positions 899 to 1397 of the family's 1533-position model. The record is from RNAcentral.